UGGGAAGUACGGCCGCAAGGCUGAAACUUAAAGGAAUUGGCGGGAGAGCACUGCAACGGAAGGAGCGUGCGGUUUAAUUGGAUUCAACGCCGGAAAACUCACCGGGGGCGACCGGCAUAUGUGGGCCAGGCUGACGACCUUGCCCGAAUAAGAGCCGGAGAGGUGGUGCAUGGCCAUCGUCAGCUCGUACCAUAGGGCGUUCACUUAAGUGUGAUAGCGAGCGAGACCCCCAUCCCCAGUUGCCACCUGUCCCUCCGGGGGCAGAGCACACUGGGGAGACCGCCGGCGCUAAGCCGGAGGAAGGUGGGGUCAACGGUAGGUCAGUACGCCCCGAAUCCCCCGGGCUACACGCGCGCUACAAAGGGCGGGACAAUGGGUUGCGACCCCGAAAGGGGGAGCUAAUCCCGAAACCCGUCCGUAGUUCAGAUCGAGGGCUGUAACUCGCCCUCGUGAAGCUGGAUUCCGUAGUAAUCGCGGGUCAACAUCCCGCGGUGAAUGCGCCCCUGCUCUUUGCACACACCGCCCGUCAAACCAUCCGAGUUGGCUCCGGGUGAGGCUCUGUUCUAUUCGGGCAGGGUCGAACCCGGGGUCAGCGAGGAGGGUUAAGUCGUAACAAGGUAACC
This 623-nucleotide ribosomal RNA is filed under the name uncultured archaeon. RNAcentral's name for it is "bacterial SSU rRNA". It matches the Rfam family "Archaeal small subunit ribosomal RNA", at positions 829 to 1448 of the family's 1478-position model. The record is from RNAcentral.